This is a long non-coding RNA of Oncorhynchus tshawytscha (Chinook salmon), 816 nucleotides long. NCBI's taxonomy places the organism in Eukaryota, Metazoa, Chordata, Actinopteri, Salmoniformes, Salmonidae. The record is from Ensembl.
AUUGGUUAAGGGUGUGGUAUUGGUUAAGGGUCGAUGACAGAGGUGUGGUAUUGGUUAAGGGUCGAUGACAGAGGUGUGGUAUUGGUUAAGGGUGUGGUAUUGGGUAGAGGUGUGGUAUUGGUUAGGGGUGUGGUAUUGGGUAGAGGUGUGGUAUUGGUUAAGGGUGUGGUAUUGGGUAGAGGUGUGGUAUUGGGUAGAGGUGUGGUAUUGGGUAGAGGUGUGGUAUUGGUUAAGGGUGUGGUAUUGGGUAGAGGUGUGGUAUUGGGUAGAGGUGUGGUAUUGGGUAGAGGUGUGGUAUUGGUUAAGGGUGUGGUAUUGGGUAGAGGUGUGGUAUUGAUUAAAUACCUUGAACUAAAAUAUAAACACCAACGUGUAAAGUGCUGGUCCCGUGUUUCAUGAGCUGAAAUAAGAACAUCUCUGACAUUUUCCAUUCAAAUGUGUUUAUAUCCCUGUUAGUGAGCAUUUAUCCCGAGACAAGAUAAUCCAUCCACCUGACAGCUGUGGCACAUCAACAAGCUGAUUAAACAGCGCGAUCAUUACCCAGGUUCAUCUGGUGCAGUUGACAACAACAGAUGUCUCAAGUUGAAGGAGCGAGCAAUUGGCUGAUGACUACAGGAAUGUCCACCGGAGCUGUUGCCAGAGAUUUUGAUGUUCAUAUUUUUUUUUUUACAAUAAAGCGCCUCCAAUCUCGUUACAACCGGCCUCACAACCACGCCAGGAUAUAGAAAUAGUUGCGUUUAUAUAUUUUGUUCAGUAUAUUUAGCCGUUUUAUGGCUUGGAUGUAGAAGCUGUUCAUUCCAGACUUAGUGUGUGGGG